This 464-nucleotide ribosomal RNA is filed under the name uncultured bacterium. Its description in RNAcentral is "partial 16S ribosomal RNA". It matches the Rfam family "Bacterial small subunit ribosomal RNA", at positions 339 to 795 of the family's 1533-position model. The record is from RNAcentral.
CUACGGGUCGCUCCAGUGGGGAAUAUUGCACAAUGGGCGCAAGCCUGAUGCAGCCAUGCCGCGUGUAUGAAGAAGGCCUUCGGGUUGUAAAGUACUUUCAGCGGGGAGGAAGGAAGUAAAGUUAAUACCUUUGCUCAUUGACGUUACCCGCAGAGGAAGCACCGGCUAACUCCGUGCCAGCAGCCGCGGUAAUACGGAGGGUGCAGGCGUUAAUCGGAAUGACUGGGCGUAAAGCGCACGCAGGCGGUUUGUUAAGUCCGAUGUGAAAUCCCCGGGCUCAACCUGGGAACUGCAUCUGAUACUGGCAAGCUUGAGGCUCGUAGAGGGGGGUAGAAUUCCAGGUGUAGCGGUGAAAUGCGUAGAGAUCUGGAGGAAUACCGGUGGCGAAGGCGGCCCCCUGGACGAAGACUGACGCUCAGGUGCGAAAGCGUGGGGAGCAAACAGGAUUAGAUACCCUAGUAGUC